CGCGGUAAUUCCAGCUCCAAUAGCGUAUACUAAAGUGUUGCAGUUAAAAAGCCCGUAGUUGGAUUUCUGGCGGGGACGGCUGGUCGGUCUCGAAAGGGGCUGUACUGUUGUUGGUUCCCGUCAUCUUUGGGGAGAGCGGCUCUUACAUUAAGUUGUCGGCGUCGGGAUCCCUAUCUUUUACUGUGAAAAAAUUAGAGUGUUCAAAGCAGGCUUAGGCCCUGAAUACAUUAGCAUGGAAUAAUAAGAUACGACCUUGGUGGUCUAUUUUGUUGGUUUGCACGCCAAGGUAAUGAUUAAUAGGGAUAGUUGGGGGUAUUCGUAUUCAAUUGUCAGAGGUGAAAUUCUUGGAUUUAUGGAAGACGAACUACUGCGAAAGCAUUUACCAAGGAUGUUUUCAUUAAUCAAGAACGAAAGUUAGGGGAUCGAAGAUGAUUAGAUACCAUCGUAGUCUUAACCAUAAACUAUGCCGACUAGGGAUCGGUGGGUGCAUUUUUAGGCCUCAUCGGCACCUUAUGAGAAAUCAAAGUCUUUGGGUUCCGGGGGGAGUAUGGUCGCAAGGCUGAAACUUAAAGAAAUUGACG
This 581-nucleotide ribosomal RNA is filed under the name uncultured Eustigmatophyceae. RNAcentral's name for it is "SSU rRNA". It matches the Rfam family "Eukaryotic small subunit ribosomal RNA", at positions 575 to 1158 of the family's 1831-position model. The record is from RNAcentral. Lineage: Eukaryota; Eustigmatophyceae.